Pseudopipra pipra is the source of this 8921-nucleotide RNA transcript. It is a transcript of the gene named chromosome 5 C12orf75 homolog, with no coding region annotated. The record is from RefSeq and is a predicted model, not a curated record. Lineage: Eukaryota; Metazoa; Chordata; Aves; Passeriformes; Pipridae. The transcript is spliced from 7 exons.
CCCGGCUCCGCCCGCAGCCGGCUGCCUCCCGUCGCCGCACCGCACCGGCAGCGCGCCGCACCGGCACCGCUCUGCUCCGCUCCCUGCGCACCGGCGGGCGCAGCGCCGGGCAGGGCAGCGCCCAUGGGCUGCGGCAACUCCACGGCCGGCGGCGCGGGCGGGCGAGGUGCUACAGGGACUACUAAAGAUGUAGCAGAAGAAUCUGUAUCAGAUGAUGACAAAAGGAGGAACUAUGGAGGUGUCUAUGUUGGCCUGCCGUCGGAAGCAGCUGCCAUGAUUUCCAGUCAGACGAAAGCUGCACCGAAAGGUAUUGCAAGAUUAGAAGGAAAUAAAGACAUCAAGAUGCAAACAGCUGGAGUCUGCUAAGACCAGAUGCCAGUGCUUUAGAGAGAGCUGUCUUUGUGCUGAAGAUUUUUAUAUUUACGUAGCCUUCUGGAGAGCAAGAGAGAUCAGAGCACCAAAAAAUCUAAACUGUUGCAAGUUCCAACUACGGGUAAAGCUUAAAGUACAGCGUUGCAUCAGUUUCCUAUGAUGGUUGCAUUAUGGAAACCUCCUCCUGUUCUCCAGUGAAAAAGGAAAUUGGUGAACUCAUGGUGGAUGUUUCUGCACAAGAGCUAACUUUGAUGAUCUGCAACUUAUUUCUCUGUGGCCAUAUUGCAGAUUUCAUCAGCUAUCAGCUACGCUUCAUAUAUUUUCUCCAACAAUUUUUGAUAGAUUUUAUAUAGAAAACCAUCACUACUGUCCACUCAAUAGUUCCUAUGAAAUCUGCUACUUGGGUUAUCAACGAUUUCAGGCUUCCAGCUCCUGAAGACAAAUAUGCAUCUCAUUCUUGACCCCUUCGACCUCAAAUCAAGAUGAAAUAAGCUUGAAGAUUAAGAUGUGGUGUUAAAAUAUCUCAGUGUGAAUGAAUGUCUGUUGAUUUUGUCUGCUGAGUCUUGUUCUUGCAAGCCAAGCUGAUGAGAACUCAAGUAGCACUGAGUAAUAAACAUGCAGGCUUGCUUCUCACCUGCUUACCAUAGUAUAAGGGUAUAGUUUCCAUUUCACGUGUUCCACAAAUGGUCUAAAUGGUUUGCACAGCACAAGUUUAUUUAGUACAAAGCAAUUAGGCCCACGCCUGACCUGAUCACGAUUGCCUUUCCCAAAGCAGAAAAAACACCAGUCGUCCCAGGAUACGUCAUCGUUCAGCUAGUGCUCAAAAAGCCAACAACAGAUGCCAGUAAGCAACCCAGUUGUUUGUCCACUUCUGUCCUUCAGUUGCUGGGAAGAAUCAUCAAAAAGGUGGACAGGGCUGAACUCGAACAUCACUUGUUCUGCUACUGACAUCUGAACCCCCAUGUGUGGGCAGAGGAAAGAAAGAGGUGAUUGCUAAUGAAUAGCUCCCACCAGUUGAUGGUGGGACAGUUGCAAAGGGUAUUUUACUUGGUUUACGUCAUUGCUUGUUUUUCCUGUGCAGAGCUAAAGAGAAGCUUGGAGCACUUUGCAGAAUUGGUCUUUUAAUGUUUCAUCCUCUGAAUGUGUGGGAGGUACGGUGGUUUCUUAAUGUUUUUGUUCCUCUGCAUCAUUUACUCUCAAAAGCUUACUGAUAAACUGACAAAUGUUCAGCAUCAUGGACUGGAGUCUCUAAAAUAGAUACAGAUUUAUUUAUGCUACGCGGGCCUGUACCCAUCAAACUGAAUAGCCAGGGCCAUGCCCUUGUCUCUGAUUUGCAGACUCUUGUUUUCCCAAGGACAAGAUCUAGAAACUGCUUGACAGGACACUGUAUUCUAUCUUGGCUGAAUCCCACUUAGGGAACUGAUUUUCUGCUCAUCAAAAUUCCUCUCUGGUGAGCAGCCUUUGUUAAUAAAAGCACAUGAUCUUUCAUGGAGAAAUGGGUGUAUCUGCUUUUUAAAACUUACAACCUAUAGAUAUUUCUGUUAUGAGGAGAAACCCUAUAUGCCAGCUUCCAGCUGUGCAUUUGAUGGCAUCUUUGGAGAAUAUUUAGGCACUCAAAUGAUGGUUCAGUGUGAGAAUUAAAAACAGAACACAAGGAGCCAUUGAAUGACAGAGUUAUUAUUAAGGAAUAUAGUAUUUAUGAAGAAGAGACAUUUAAAUGUUGGGGCUGUAAUACCAUUUCCUUUGCUGUUGUCACUCUGUCUCCAGCCAGAGCUGGGGAGGCAGUGAAAAUAGUUCAGCAAAGAGUGGAUUAGGGCUUUAUGAUCUCAGAAUAUCUGAUCUGAGACUCUUCGACAGCCCAGAAAUAUGCUUGAAAUCACAUAACUCUGAGAAGUGACUCUUGAAAAAUUCUGGAGUAUGAAAGCAUAGGAUUGAAACCACAGUUUGUGAUUAGCUGAAAAACAAUCAAAAUAUCUUGGAUUGCAAAUUUUGGUCUAGUACAAACUAUUUCACCUCGAAGACAGCUGCUCUUUUGAAUUAUGCUGAUAAGGCAGUGCAUUUAUUUUGCUUUCUUCUUAAUACAGGACCUGGAGCUUUGUUGUAAGGGCCCAGCUUCUCAGUGUCUGGUUAGUCCAGACAGAGGCACUGCCCAUCUUGUGUGUGCCAUCCACAUCCUAGUGUAGUUCAGAGGAUGUGACAUAGAUCUAAACCUCUGUGUUGCUCAAGGGUUAAAUCUGUUGCUAAGAGGGUUGCAGAAGACCUGGUAAAUGCUGUUGUAAGCUCAGUUAGGACUUCAUUCACUAGAAAUGAAAUCCUUUCAUAGCAAAGAGUCCAAACAAGGCUGAUGCUGCAGAAAUUCAUAAAGGUGAAAUUUGUCUCUAAUGAACACAAGGUACUAAUUUACUUGAUUUCGUGCUGCCUGUCUAGCAGAGGAGUCUGUGCUAUAUUGGACUAUGGCUGAAAUGGCAUCACUAUUCCCUGUCACCCACGCAAGUCUAGCAAUUCUCAAUAAUCGUGCUUCCCAAGCAGUCGGUGAGUCACUGCUGAUCUGUUUCCUGCAAAGUAGACCUCUGUUUCGUUCCCAUGGUGAUCAGAAGUGACAAUUAUUACGGGCUGCUACUACAGUUUCUCAGUUGUGUGUGCCCACUGAAAGAAGCUCUUACCUGGUUACAGUCCCUUGGUGUUUUGCAGUACAUCGUUAUUGCUUCCUGUUGACAGCAAUUUAAACACUUCAGGUGAAUUGGCUUUAUGGAGAACAUGCUGAAGGAGGGGGAUUUGUGGAGUGUUUUUGUUUUGCAAUGUAUUUAGAACAAGACCAAGAAAGUAAUGGCUCUGUAAACUUUCCAUAGAACAAUGGUGUGCCAGUAUUGCAGGAAACCUUUUGAGGCUGGGCAGAAUGAUCCAACCCUUGUUUUAAGAACAAACAUGCACAGAACUUAGAUUUAUCAUAAUAGGAGCCAUUUAAUUUUACACAAUCUGACAAUUUUUGCUGUAACUCUAGGUUUUGCAAACAAGAGUAUUUCCCAGGCUACAGAAACCUGUCACCCAUCUGUGGGACUUUCUGUAUACUGGUCACUAUCUGGUCACUAUUAAAAUACCUACAGCUGAAGGUAGGACUCUGCUUGUGAAAUGGAUCGUUCUGUGAAAUGCGGUGAAACUCUCAUUAGAAUAACUGUACUGAGAAAAGAAUUACAAAGAUACCAUUGAAUGAAGCCUGGAUAAAAGGGGACUUCCUGUGCCAGAAAGGAGGAAACACAUAGAGAAGGAGAAUUAUGAUAUUAUGCAGUGAAGACAGAUGUAGAAAGAGGUUAGGAACAGAAAAUGACGUAAAAAAGGAAAUACUUUAAUUAAGUAUCUGCUCCAUUUCUCUGUGAUUCUAAUCUCUGGAAAACAGAGAAAGAAGUAGACCGCUGCCAAAUUGUUUUAAGACUGAAGAGAAAGGGGGAUUGGCUUAUCAGUUCAUUCCAACCCUCAGAAGCCUGAGACUGCAAACCUUUGGGGAAAUAACUUGUCUCAUUUUUAUUUGCUUCAUGCCUAGUGUAAUGAGCCCAUGAACCUUAUAGGUCCUUUUGGGUGUUACCAGUAUAUAUAAAUAUCCUGUCGUCUCUUUCAAAAUUUCUGUUGAUGUUCCCUUAGUUUGCCUCUCUAUUGCAGACUGAGAAAAUACACAAUAUGUAAAAAUAAUUACCAGGGUUAAUACAAGAAAAGAUUACAGAACAUGUGAAAAGGAAGCAAGAGCUUAAUCUGAAAAACAGGAUCGAGUUAGAACCUAAGCUUUGGUUUAGUUAUGCCAUGUAUUUUAGAUUUUUUGUAUAAUUAAUGAAUCACUGUGCAAGUGGUUAGUUUUGUCACAGCACCCUUUUUGGUACUCUGGGAAUUAUCAGUCCUCUCACAGAAAUUUUUUUUCUAGUCUUUGAUUCCUAUGUUAUAGGAGAUGGCAGUAAUGUGAAAUACUAAAUUCUGCACUUUGCCUUUGUUGCACACUUUUUAUGUUGACCAAAUCUCUGUGUUGUCUGUAGGACGGAUUCAGCUCCAUAAAAGCUGAGCUCAUUGGAUUCUUACCGUGAGGCUGUAAUUCAGAACAACAUGUUAAUUAGAGGCGGGUCAUAUUUGCUAACUGUUUUGUGGGGGACUGUGGGAAAAUGUAAGACUUUGUUGCAGUUAGGGAGGUAGUCAAACUUUGGAGAGAGUCCACACUGUAUCACUACCAAACUUUACUUGGCAGUAUGCAAACAUAACACUACACACAUAAAUAAACAAAAUCAGGGAGGUAACACACACCUUUAGGCUUACAUAUUUAUCAUAUUUAUGGUUAUAUAGCACUGGACACUGACUGUAACUUUGAGCUGUGAAUAUUUACCUACAGCUAGGUUUGCAUUCCCCAAAUGAUAUUGCUGUAAGGAAGCCUUGGAAGGGCUUCCUAAUACCUGGUUUGUUUGUAGGACCCUCACAUGCUUUUGGGAAAUCAACAAAUAGAUUUUCUCUAAAAUUUAAAUAUUUAAUCAGAUCUUAAUGGAUAAAUAGUAUCAACUUGAUCAAACUCCAAAUAUCUGCUUAUUAUAACAAUGUACUUCGUCUUUGAAGUCUCACAUGAAACCAGUUGCCUCCUUCUUUUUCCUCUUACAAGUUGUGGAUUACUUUAAUAAAUAAAUUCUUUUAGUUUUACAAAGUAACUGCUUCAAAUCAUCAGAUAAAACCAAAACAGUUUUUGUAAUAAGGAGACUGUGCCAGCCUGGGGAAACAGAGGUUCUAUAAAUUUCAAAUUAUUUGUAAUAGCAUGAAUAAUGGUUGGAGAACUUUCACAGCACUCUUAAAGAGUCUUUGUUUAAGACAUCAUAACUUGUAUAAGGAUUGCUUCUUGAGAAACCCAAGAUUUCCAGUGAAAAGAGCCCUGAAAAUCACUACUUGGGAAAUAAGUUUUGAUUUAUGAUAAUAUUUUUUCAAGAGCAGUGUUAUAUUUUUCUCUUUGAGUUUCGAGAGGAAGCCAAAUUCUCUUUUGAGCCAGUGAGGUAAACAAUCUAUCUCUCCUUGCCUGCAAACAAUUGCAGACAAUUCUCAUUCAGAAGUACAAGAAAAAAGAUAAAUGGUAUUGGCUAGCUCUAUCAUGGGGACAUAUAUGUUUAUACACUUCAAAUUAAUUCAAAUCUUUAACAAAUUAAGAUAGAUUAGACUAGAUUUCAUGCUUUAUCCUUUGAAGUAUUUUCAUUAAAUCAUGGUAUUAUUUUUUUCCUGUUGGUUGAAGUAAUCCCUGGCAAAACUAUUUCUUCUGUAUUUUUGUAAGAAUGUGUAAUUCAUUAUAGUUUUCAACACUUCUUGCACUAUUUCCCAUUUUUAUCUUGAGUUCACCUUCUGGCAUAAAACUCUGCCACAGCCUGGAUUUUACCUUUGCUCAGGUGAGCACUCCAAGUGGAUGCCACUGGAGAACAUUUUACCCUGAAGGCUGUUUUCUUCAGCUUCAGUUGAAACAUGGGCAGUGCUGCCUGAUCAUUCUCUAGGAGGAGUGUUUACUGCACGCGUGACUGUAUCAUCUGGAGACUUGGACUGAGAUGGUUUUAGGAAUCUUCAUUACCCAUGAGGGUAUUGAAAGCUCAUCUUGCCUCCUGCAUGACACCUCCUUGUCAUGGUUUAACCCCAACCAGCAGAUGAACCCCACGCAGCUGCUCACUCAGUCCUCCCCAGUGGAAUGGAGAAUUGGAAGAGAAAAAGAGAAAAAAAUCGUGUAUUGAGGUAAAGAAAAAUCCACACAUAAGCAAAGGAAAAUAAGGAAUUCAUUCACCACUUCCCAUGGACAGCCAGGUGUUCAGCCAUCCCCAGGAAAGCAGGGCUCUGUCACCAGUAACAGCCACUUGGGAAGACAAAUGCCAUCACUCUGAAAGUGUCUCUCUUUUGUUCAUCUUCCCCCAGCUUUAUAUUCUGAGCUUUAUAUGCUGAUUUGGAACACCCCUUGAGUGGGUGGGGGUCAGCUGUCCUGGCUGUGUCCCCUCCCAACUUCCUGUGAAUCCUCAGUCCACUUGCUGGCAGGGUGGGGUGAGAGGCAGAAAAGGCCUUAACUCUGUGUAAGCACCGCUCAGCAGUAAUGAAAACAUCCCUGCAUUACUGGCACUGUGUCCAGCACAAAUCCAAAACACAGCCCUAUUCUAGCUACUCUGAAGAAAAUAAGCUCUUAUCCCAGCCAAACCCAGCACACUCCUUCAAAUACACCUGUGGACAAGCAGCAUUGUGUUACGAAGUUGGAAGGCACAAGAUGGUGGGAAAGUGCCUCCAUCACAGUUCAGUUUGUGCAGUGAUGUGCAAAACAAGAGCAAACAUUAUUGAUACAUUAGUUGGAUAGUUGACUUUGCCACAUUUCAGAGUCUCUUUAGAAUGACUUUCAGUGAUGACAAAAGGAGCAAGAACAUAAGGAAUCGGGUCCUAUCAUACAAUAUCAUAAAUGCCUGUAUUAGACAUUACAAAUGAUUAGCAGCAUCCUGUGUACUGUCAUUGCAUUCGACACAAAGUAGUUGCAGUCUUGUAAUAAUUUCACCUGCACACCUCUGUAGAUAGUAAGGGAAAUUACUCCCAGUAGACAGUGGCUGAUCAUUUGACCUGUAGAUUUUCUUGUCUAGGUCAUGGAGUCCGGCUGACACAGAGUGUAUCUCUUCGUGAUCUGGACACCCCCACUUUGCAACCUGCUGGUUUUGCAGUGCACCUCUGUGGUGUCUGCCAGUGUAAAUAGCCAAAGUGCUUUGAAGAAACAGCUGGUUGAUUGGUGGGGCAGAAGGACACCUCCAUGACAUACUCCCUCUGUUCAUCCCACUGUCCUUUUGUUGCUCUCGGGGAGGUAUGGCAGCUUCAGACCCCCCAAGGGAGCAGCCAUGUGCUAGUGACCCUCCCCAGGCCAGCUGUCCCACGCCAUACCCACCCCGGACAACGGGCCAGUACAAACAGCACUGCUGAGCUGGAGAGGCUGCUUUGGGCUUUGGCUGGCUAAGUCUGAAGUAGUGCUGGGAGUUGUUUUUCUGCAUCCCUUGCUCUCUUAGCAGCAGACCCCAAGUAACUGCACUGGGUUUCCUUUUAUGUGCCUCCUGAACAAGCCUUAUGUUCAGAGCUGUGCUGGUGACAAUCAAAUUAAUCAUCAUCCCGUCAGCAGCUGCACUUUGUUGGGCUCUCCCAGCAGUCUUAGAAUCUCAUCCCAGGCUGUAGGCUGAAUAAAUCCUUGUCCAAAGUUGGUCAGCAAACCGUGCCUGGCCUCAAGAAACAGCUUUGAUUAGGGACAGCAAAUUUUUUGCUAUUAUUCAUGAUUGUUUUCUUCAAAUGUGUUUUUGUGGGAAAGAGUCCUACAGACCUGGAUGGCAAUGCUGGCUCCUUGAAGCCUGAAGCUUUGGCAUACUUUACAGAAAAGAUGUUCUGAUGAGAGAGAAUCCCAAAGCAGGGGAUUUAGGAUUUAAAAAACAAAACCCCUCCAAAAUGUGUAGGGAAUCCUGUGUAAUAAACCUUGAUAUGCCUCUGCUGCUCUCAUUUCUGUAACAUUGAAUUGAUUGCUCCUUAAAAGCUGCAAAUGUCUGAAGUUUUGAUUUCGAAGUAUCUAUACAUGUAAUUUUAGGAGUUAAAAAUUUCCCUUUUUUCAAAACGCUUAUUUCAACUUUUGAAAAAAAGUUGCCCUAUUAUCCCGAUAUCCAGGAAAUAUCCCAAAUCAAUUAAUCAAUCACUGCAAAGAUCAUGGUUAUUUAUUUUUCACUUUAGGGUUUCAUUUUAAUAGAUAGACUCAAAUGCUGGUACUAAAAUGAGGGGUUAUUUCAUUUUACAAAAUAUUUAGCAAUGACAGUGCUAACAGUACUACUUGUCACUUUGGCAUUGCCUGUGACAAAAUUGUAGUUUAUGGACAUAACUUAAAAAUCAAAUUAUUUUAAAUAACUUUGCUUCUAAAGGAGCUUUUAGGUCAAGUCUGAAAGCUCAUAUAGAGUAUAUAAAAACAUUGUCUCUGGGCUGCUUCAGAUUGUCCUCUAAGCCAUAAAAAUAUGUCUCUGAGGUUUUUUUCUAUAAUGAAAGUCAUGCUGUUUUCCAGUUGAUUCAUUAGAGCUCUGGUCUAGCCUCUUUACAGAUGCUGCUAUUAUUCUGCAAUGAAAAAAGGCAAACAGCCAUUUCUGGGUGCUCUGUAAAGUCUGAAAAGCAAGAUAGCUUAAAAUAAAUGUUUGUACCCUGCUGUGUUCUUAUGAUCUCCAAUGCACUUUGGGCACUACUGAACUAUAAAUAAGAUCAAAAUAUUCAUUCUCUCAUGCUCAAAAAAAUGUGAAGAAUGACAAAAUGAAGCUUCUUGGUAUAUUUGUACUAUGACAUAUUUUGACAAUGUGAUCGAUAUUGGGGUUUUUCCCAUGGGAUACAUGCUACAAUAGACUAACCUAAUUAGAUAUCUAUGAAAAAGUAUAUUUUCUCUUGAAAUUUUGCCAAUACUUUUUUAUUCAUUUUAUCAUUGCUUUGUCAUUGCUUUGGGCCAAUUUGUUUCCCAGGAAUGUGCUUUCCUUGCCUGUACAAGUUUGACAAUAAAAAUGCGUUUUUUUCUGUCCUUCUCU